GGGAAGUGAAGGUCCUGCCUGAGUGUCUGGAGGCAGUUGGAGGAUGGAUGGCCGCCGGGACCAUAUAACCAUAUAGACCUGCAUUGGCUCCCGGGUCAUCCAUCCUCCAACCACCUCCAGACACUCAUGCAGGACCUUCACUUCCC
Podarcis lilfordi (Lilford's wall lizard) is the source of this 146-nucleotide non-coding RNA. Lineage: Eukaryota; Metazoa; Chordata; Lepidosauria; Squamata; Lacertidae. The record is from the annotation of a GenBank genome assembly.